Molecule: long non-coding RNA, 815 nt
Filed under: Rattus norvegicus (Norway rat)
Lineage: Eukaryota; Metazoa; Chordata; Mammalia; Rodentia; Muridae
Description: long non-coding RNA NONRATT022026
Source: RNAcentral
CAGGACAUGGCCCAGUGAUCCAUAAUGCCGAAGCUAAAAUUCUGGAAUAUAUUUCUCACCGAAAUAACCGAGAAGAACAAAUUAUCACCGUAUUCCGUGAUAACCUUGAGGAAUCAUUCUCAGUGAGCGAACUUAGGAAAAUGAUUUACAAGAACGUUCCAGAGAAUUUACAUAAAAUGGCGGAGCAUAAUCUCUUGCUUCACUUGAGGAAACUAGAGAAAGAUGGGAAAAUAUGUACGUAUCCUUCUGAACUUUAAUGCACUUUCUACCAGCAUUUAAACGUGUGCAGGUGCUUGAGUUUGUUUUUAGGUAGAACAGUGCUCAUCUGAGGUCUCCCUUCAAUACCACAUUCGGUGGAGAAGUAGGGUCCACGCCCUGCGCCAUAGUGACUUGGUGCCUGGGAGGAUGCCAAGGCCAAGGACACUGGCCGUGGGACACGUGAGGACAGGCACGGUCGUAAGCCGAUAGAAACAGUGAAGUCAGAGCUCGAUAGCUAUUUCCUGAUGGUAGAUGAACUUGUCAAAUCAGGCAGUCGAGUCCUUAAAAUCAAGAAGUGAGUCAAAGCUUGAAUUUUGUUUAGAAGCCCCAGCCAUGUGUUUACCUACAAGAAGAAAUUACUUUAUCGUCAUCAACAGAAUUCUUUUACGGAAGGUGCACCUUUUCUUACUAUAAAAGAAUUGGAAACCCAGUGAUAUACUUAUAUCUUGUUUUUACUCUCUGUUUCUUUUCCUACAGUUUCCAUCGCAAGUCCUGCCAAGAAAUGGAGAGCCUCCCUUUAGUUUCAGAUCAAUAAAGUUCUCAUUUUGCUUUUAGAA